Molecule: ribosomal RNA, 1174 nt
Filed under: Campylobacter jejuni
Lineage: Bacteria; Pseudomonadati; Campylobacterota; Epsilonproteobacteria; Campylobacterales; Campylobacteraceae
Description: partial 23S ribosomal RNA
Rfam family: Bacterial large subunit ribosomal RNA
Source: RNAcentral
UAAAAAAAGGUAAGCUACUAAGAGCGAAUGGUGGAUGCCUUGACUGGUAAAGGCGAUGAAGGACGUACUAGACUGCGAUAAGCUACGGGGAGCUGUCAAGAAGCUUUGAUCCGUAGAUUUCCGAAUGGGGCAACCCAAUGUAUAGAGAUAUACAUUACCUAUAUAGGAGCGAACGAGGGGAAUUGAAACAUCUUAGUACCCUCAGGAAAAGAAAUCAAUAGAGAUUGCGUCAGUAGCGGCGAGCGAAAGCGCAAGAGGGCAAACCCAGUGCUUGCACUGGGGGUUGUAGGACUGCAAUGUGCAAGAGCUGAGUUUAGCAGAACAUUCUGGAAAGUAUAGCCAUAGAGGGUGAUAGUCCCGUAUGCGAAAAACAAAGCUUAGCUAGCAGUAUCCUGAGUAGGGCGGGACACGAGGAAUCCUGUCUGAAUCCGGGUCGACCACGAUCCAACCCUAAAUACUAAUACCAGAUCGAUAGUGCACAAGUACCGUGAGGGAAAGGUGAAAAGAACUGAGGUGAUCAGAGUGAAAUAGAACCUGAAACCAUUUGCUUACAAUCAUUCAGAGCACUAUGUAGCAAUACAGUGUGAUGGACUGCCUUUUGCAUAAUGAGCCUGCGAGUUGUGGUGUCUGGCAAGGUUAAGCAAACGCGAAGCCGUAGCGAAAGCGAGUCUGAAUAGGGCGCUUAGUCAGAUGCUGCAGACCCGAAACGAAGUGAUCUAUCCAUGAGCAAGUUGAAGCUAGUGUAAGAACUAGUGGAGGACUGAACCCAUAGGCGUUGAAAAGCCCCGGGAUGACUUGUGGAUAGGGGUGAAAGGCCAAUCAAACUUCGUGAUAGCUGGUUCUCUCCGAAAUAUAUUUAGGUAUAGCGUUGUGUCGUAAUAUAAGGGGGUAGAGCACUGAAUGGGCUAGGGCAUACACCAAUGUACCAAACCCUAUCAAACUCCGAAUACCUUAUAUGUAAUCACAGCAGUCAGGCGGCGAGUGAUAAAAUCCGUCGUCAAGAGGGAAACAACCCAGACUACCAGCUAAGGUCCCUAAAUCUUACUUAAGUGGAAAACGAUGUGAAGUUACUUAAACAACCAGGAGGUUGGCUUAGAAGCAGCCAUCCUUUAAAGAAAGCGUAAUAGCUCACUGGUCUAGUGAUUUUGCGCGGAAAAUAUAACGGGGCUAAAGU